RNAcentral lists this ribosomal RNA (468 nucleotides) under uncultured bacterium. RNAcentral describes it as "partial 16S ribosomal RNA". It matches the Rfam family "Bacterial small subunit ribosomal RNA", at positions 28 to 507 of the family's 1533-position model. The record is from RNAcentral.
GACGAACGCUGGCGGCGUGCUUAACACAUGCAAGUCGAACGGAAAGGCCCUGCUUUUGUGGGGUGCUCGAGUGGCGAACGGGUGAGUAACACGUGAGUAACCUGCCCUUGACUUUGGGAUAACUUCAGGAAACUGGGGCUAAUACCGGAUAGGAUCUCCUGCCGCAUGGUGGGGGCUGGAAAGUUUCGGCGGUUGGGGAUGGACUCGCGGCUUAUCAGCUUGUUGGUGGGGUAGUGGCUUACCAAGGCUUUGAGGGGUAGCCGGCCUGAGAGGGUGACCGGCCAAGUUGGGCCGGAGAUACGGCCCAGCCUCCUACGUGAGGCAACAGUGGAGAAUAUUGCACAAUGGGAGGAAGCAUAGUGCAGCAACGCAGCGUGCGGGAUGACAGCCUUCGGUUUGUAAUCCAAUUUCGCCUGUGACGAAGCGUGAGUGACGGUAAUGGGUAAAGAAGCACCGGCUAACUACGUG